Long non-coding RNA from Saccostrea cuccullata (small rock oyster), 776 nucleotides. RefSeq lists it as uncharacterized. The transcript is spliced from 3 exons. NCBI's taxonomy places the organism in Eukaryota, Metazoa, Mollusca, Bivalvia, Ostreida, Ostreidae. The record is from RefSeq and is a predicted model, not a curated record.
UUAUGAAUGAAGAUGGAGUCUUUAGCCUAAAAUUUCUUGAGAUAAUCAGUGUUGCCUGGUUCAUCCAAUGAAUCAGAAUGAUCACUCCAUUUGCAGACUAUCAGGUUCCAAUCUGAAGUAUACAAGGGAAGAGUAAAAUCUUUUUCAUUCCUAUUUACAAACACUUACUAGAUCCAGAAGAAUGUCCUGAUUGCUUUUUGCACCAUAAUAUGAAUUUCAAUCUGACACAUAAUUCUGAAAAAUUGAGUGGAACACCAUGAUCACUGGAUGGUCUUCUUCAAGCUGGCAUGUCUUUGUCACAAUAUCUUGACUCUGCAUUGUCAUCAAAACUUUGCAUUCCUUAAAAUACAAAGACAAUUUUUAUAAACUAAAACAACAGACUUGAUAAAAAGGCUAAUAUUAAAAAAAAACAUGUCAUUAUUUACCCCUUUUUUUCGUUUUUAAUUAUUUUAUGAAAUUAAAACCCUUGCGAAAAUUAGAACCUGCGACUUACUGUCAAGCAGAGGUGUCCAGAAAUAAGAUAAACGGCUCCUUUGAUGGUAGGAUAACCAGAUGAUGUAGAUCAGUCACUGCAACAACAGAAAUAGAACCUCUGUCGGCCGUGAAGUCACCUCAGGAAGAAUGCCGAGAAUAUCUGAAUGCUAUGGAUUCAUGGUGUCAUCAUACUGUAUAUAUCCACCACUGAAGCCUAAGAUAUAAAUAUACAAUAUUUUCCUGCAGGCCAGCUUGGCGAAAUUCUAUUUUCUUCCGUUUUCUUCUUAGCACAAAAUUUGUAA